UCCGAAAUGUCAAAGGCCCCGUUCGA
Molecule: non-coding RNA, 26 nt
Filed under: Drosophila erecta
Lineage: Eukaryota; Metazoa; Arthropoda; Insecta; Diptera; Drosophilidae
Also listed under: 1 other name
Source: RNAcentral